AUUGAACGCUGGCGGCAGGCCUAACACAUGCAAGUCGAACGAGUGGCGGACGGGUGAGUAAUGUCUGGGAAACUGCGUGAUGGAGGGGGUUAACUACUGGAAACGGUAGCUAAUACCGCAUUCCAUCGGUUGUGCCCAGGUGGGAUUAGGUAGUAGGUGGGGUAAAGGCUCACCUAGGGGACGAGCCCUUGCUGGUCUGAGAGGAUGACCAGCCAAACUGGAACGGAGGCACGGUCCCGAAUCCUGCGGGAGGCAGAAGUGGGGAAUAUUGGACAAUGGGAGCAAGCCUGAUGCAGCCAUGCCGCGUGUAUGAAGAAGGCCUUCGGGUUGUAAAGUACUUUCAGCGGGGAGGCGUUACCCGCAGAAGAAGCACCGGCUAACUCCGUGCCAGCAGCCGCGGUAAUUC
RNAcentral lists this ribosomal RNA (406 nucleotides) under uncultured bacterium. RNAcentral's name for it is "partial 16S ribosomal RNA". It matches the Rfam family "Bacterial small subunit ribosomal RNA", at positions 30 to 526 of the family's 1533-position model. The record is from RNAcentral.